Molecule: ribosomal RNA, 924 nt
Filed under: Triticum aestivum (bread wheat)
Lineage: Eukaryota; Viridiplantae; Streptophyta; Magnoliopsida; Poales; Poaceae
Description: partial small subunit ribosomal RNA
Source: RNAcentral
AUGGACCGAAGUCCUUGCGGUCGAAGAGCAAAACUCGAACGCCCCUCCAAGAGCUACCCAAAGCGCAGGUUGCUACCCCGAUUAGAGGAGAAAGCACUUGAUGCGGCCGACCGGCCACCUCGUGGCCGCGACAGAGAGGCCUCCCGGCCCUCUACUCAAGCCGCACCCCGUACCAAGGCACGGGAACAUGCACCGGACUUACGAGACAUGAUGGAGGACAAGGCAAGGCAAACACGCUCGAUCUACGGAUCGCGUGGGCGCCCCACGGCUCGGGACGGUAACCGUCAUGCCGGCCACAAAUUCGGCAGGGCCGAACACAACUCAUUGGAGCUACGUCAUGAUAUCGCCCAGUACAGAGGCGCCGCACACCCACUAUGCUUCACAGACGAAAUAAUGGAUCAUCAAAUCCCCGAGGGUUUCAAAUCCGUAAACAUCAAAUCAUAUGAUGGCACAACAGAUCCUGCGGUAUGGAUCGAGGAUUAUCUCCUUCAUAUCCACAUGGCUCGCGGCGAUGAUUUCCACGCCAUCAAAUACCUCCCACUCAAGCUUAAAGGACCAGCUCGGCAUUGGCUUAACAGCUUGCCAACAGGAUCGAUCAGUUGUUGGGAGGACCCGGAAGCCGCAUUCCUCGACAAUUUCCAGGGCACUUAUGUGCGACCCCCAGACGCUGAUGACCUAAGUCACGUAAUUCAGCAGCCAGAGGAAUCGGCCAGGCAAUUCUGGACACGGUUCCUAACAAAGAAAAAUCAAAUAGUUGACUGUCGGGACGCUGAGGCCCUAGCAGCCUUCCAGCACAAUAUCCGUGACGAGUGGCUGGCCCGGCACCUUGGACAGGAAAAGCCGAAAUCUAUGGCAGCACUCACGACACUCAUGACCCGCUUUUGCGCGGGAGUGACACCUGGCUUGCCCGUAGCAACAAUAUGA